This 312-nucleotide ribosomal RNA is filed under the name Bacillus sp. KBC. Its description in RNAcentral is "bacterial SSU rRNA". It matches the Rfam family "Bacterial small subunit ribosomal RNA", at positions 16 to 315 of the family's 1533-position model. The record is from RNAcentral. Lineage: Bacteria; Bacillati; Bacillota; Bacilli; Caryophanales; Bacillaceae.
GUCAUGGCUCAGGAUGAACGCUGGCGGCGUGCCUAAUACAUGCAAGUCGAGCGAAAUGAUUUGAGAGCUGCUUUUCAAGAAGUUAGCGGCGGACGGGUGAGUAACACGUGGGUAACCUGCCCAUAAGACUGGGAUAACUCCGGGAAACCGGGGCUAAUACCGGAUAACAUUUUGAACUGCAUGGUUCGAAAUUGAAAGGCGGCUUCGGCUGUCACUUAUGGAUGGACCCGCGUCGCAUUAGCUAGUUGGUGAGGUAACGGCUCACCAAGGCAACGAUGCGUAGCCGACCUGAGAGGGUGAUCGGCCACACUG